ACCAACAGGGAUUGCCCUAGUAACGGCGAGUGAAGCGGCAACAGCUCAAAUUUGAAAUCUGGCUCUUUCAGGGUCCGAGUUGUAAUUUGCAGAGGGCGCUUUGGCUUUGGCAGCGGUCCAAGUUCCUUGGAACAGGACGUCACAGAGGGUGAGAAUCCCGUACGUGGUCGCUAGCUAUUGCCGUGUAAAGCCCCUUCGACGAGUCGAGUUGUUUGGGAAUGCAGCUCUAAAUGGGAGGUAAAUUUCUUCUAAAGCUAAAUACUGGCCAGAGACCGAUAGCGCACAAGUAGAGUGAUCGAAAGAUGAAAAGCACUUUGGAAAGAGAGUCAAACAGCACGUGAAAUUGUUGAAAGGGAAGCGCUUGCAGCCAGACUUGCUUGCAGUUGCUCAUCCGGGCUUUUGCCCGGUGCACUCUUCUGCAGGCAGGCCAGCAUCAGUUUGGGCGGUGGGAUAAAGGUCUCUGUCACGUACCUCUCUUCGGGGAGGCCUUAUAGGGGAGGCGACAUACCACCAGCCUGGACUGAGGUCCGCGCAUUUGCUAGGAUGCUGGCGUAAUGGCUGUAAGCGGCCCGUCUUGAAACACGGACCAAGGAGUCUAACAUCUAUGCGAGUGUUUGGGUGUCAAGCCCGAACGCGUAAUGAAAGUGAACGGAGGUGGGAACCCGCAAGGGUGCACCAUCGACCGAUCCUGAUGUCUUCGGAAGGAUUUGAGUAAGAGCAUGGCUGUUGGGACCCGAAAGAUGGUGAACUAUGCUUGAAUAGGGUGAAGCCAGAGGAAACUCUGGUGGAGGCUCGCAGCGGUUCUGACGUGCAAAUCGAUCGUCAAAUUUGGGCAUAGGGGCGAAAGACUAAUCGAACUAUCUAGUAGCUGGUUCCUG
This 878-nucleotide ribosomal RNA is filed under the name Pyrenophora fugax. RNAcentral describes it as "partial large subunit ribosomal RNA". It matches the Rfam family "Eukaryotic large subunit ribosomal RNA", at positions 64 to 960 of the family's 3401-position model. Lineage: Eukaryota; Fungi; Ascomycota; Dothideomycetes; Pleosporales; Pleosporaceae. The record is from RNAcentral.